AGGAUAAUAGUUAAAAUAUAUAACAUUUAAUUUGCUUUUAAAAAUUAUAAUAAAAAAUUUAUCUUA
This 66-nucleotide transfer RNA is filed under the name Floraphis choui. RNAcentral describes it as "tRNA-Ala". The record is from RNAcentral. RNAcentral also lists the same sequence under 1 other name. Lineage: Eukaryota; Metazoa; Arthropoda; Insecta; Hemiptera; Aphididae.